Molecule: long non-coding RNA, 4525 nt
Organism: Ruditapes philippinarum (Manila clam)
Lineage: Eukaryota; Metazoa; Mollusca; Bivalvia; Venerida; Veneridae
Exons: 3
Source: RefSeq, a predicted model, not a curated record
AUAUUACUAAUCUUUAUUUUUAACUCAUUGUAUAUGUGUCUAAAGAAUGAACUGUUUUGUAAUUUGUUUUUACGUAUGAAAUUCUUAAGCCCUGACUUAAAGCCAGUGUUGGAAACCCAUGAACUUUGAAUUCAAUUCUCGGCAAGACCACUCUAUUAAUAGCAAUACGUAAUAUUUUGGCUUUCCAUUAGUUACCUAGACAAGGUAUGAUGAACCUCUCUAUAUUUAGAUACAAUAAUUUUCCGAAUAAUGCUUAAAUAAAAGGGGCCAAACACAUAUGCUUUACGAAAGACAGUAUCGCAUCAUACCAGAAGAGACAUUUUGACUUGGGCAAAAUAUUAUAUUUUAAACAAGAAAACAAUUUUUAAGAAAAAAAGAUAUGUCGCAGCAGGCAGACACAAAUGUUGUUUCUGAAUGGAGCUCAAAGUUUAGAAUUGCUAAACAAGCUGCUCAUGAAAUUCACUAUAGAGAAGAGUGUCAUUAUGAAAAAAUUGGAAACAUUCAGAUUAUUGGGACAAAUCAUACAAUGAUAAUGCUAGUCCGAGUCUGUUCUUGUGGACAACAAAACGAUAAAAAGUACAUUCUCAGGAAUAUACUCAUUAACAUUGAAGACUUUGAUGAUGGUGUUGAAAUACAUUUCGACAACAGGUGUCGAUAUGAACGUGCACAUUUACCUGAUGGAAGAAUGAAAUUGAACAAAAUAUGUUAUUGUCCUAAACAUAUUGGACUUUAAUCGACAGGAGAAUACGGAAAAAACAGAUAACCGUUUUGGAGACAGAAAACAUUAUACAGACAUAAAUCAUUUAAGUGAACAAAUUUGGAUACAGAUCGUUUAUAACUUGUUGAUGUCAAGACAAAUACAAACAUAAAAAAGUGAUUAAAAAAGGACGUUUGUCAAAAUGUUAAACAUUUUUACAUUAAAGUUUUGCAUUGUUUAUUAUGCAAGUGUUUUAUUUUUUCUAUAUAAUACGAAAUAAAACAAAAUGAUUUAAAUAUGUUGAGUUUCUUUAUGAUUUGUAUUAGCCCAAUAUCAUAGGGUAUUAUUAGUGUGUUAAAGAUAUACCAUGCUCAUCUUUGGAUAGAAAAUGCCUUUCGGGUAAGAAUCUAAGAUAUCCUUACUGUACAUGUCCAAUUAAGAUAAGAACAUGCACAAAAGAUGUUUAGAAAGCUUCAUUCCCUAUUUCUGGUCAAGUUAAUUUGGUCCUUUCGUAGCAAUGAAAACCGCCGUUAUUUAUGUACCCAUAGGAUGUGAUUUAUAAACAUAUCAUAUCAUUUAUUCCUGCACAUAAAAGAUGUUUACUUGUACUUUAAAAACGAGGCUUUAUAUCAAUUUCAAGAAGUAUUUAAAAAAUCUCAAGCAGAAAAAGCGUUUAUAGGUAGUGGAGUAGAAUGUCAAGGCGUCUAAAAUGACUCCACCCAGAAUUUGAAAAAGAAGCAAUGAUUGGACAGGGAUGUAACAGUUAACGGCUUGCCAUUCGUUAAAACAUUUGCGGUAAAGUCCUUUAAGUUUUUUAUUCCGUCCUUAGAAUAUUUACUCUAAUGUAGGCAUUAAAGGACUGAAAGCACGUUAAUAACAACCAAGAUAAAUUAUGUCUGAUAUCAAUCUUGCUGCGGAUAAGAAAAUAUUUAAAACUAAUCACGAACAUUGGGAAUCGUGGUGUUACGGAAAACUUGAAAACAGAAAGCUCGUUUUGAUAUGUUAUUGUGGUGGAUUUCUUUGGAUUCACUGGUUGUUUCCUUCACAUAUUUACGGACAGAAAUUACAUGUUUCAACAAAAUGUAGACUUGUUAACAAUGGUGGGAAAAUAAAAGUUGUAUGUAAAUGUCCAAAACCAAAUGCUGUUAAUAAAAGAUAACUAAAAGAUUAAGUCAAAUGUAAAGAUGUGUUCUAUAGAAGCGUUCAUCAUUUCAGAGCGAAACGAAUUUUACGUUCAUCAAUAUGCAGUGUUUGUAGUUCCAGCAAUCAAUUGACUUCAUGAUAGAAAAACUUAGACCAAAACAACAAUUACUUGAUGUUUUCAGUAUGCUGUAACCUAAAGGUCAUAGUUUUUUAACUAAAUUACAAUUUGGAAAAGAAAUCUGCUGAAUGUGUUUGUAAAUGUACUAUUAAAUGACAGGUAUUUUAAAUUGUGACUUUCUUCAAAAUUAUUCAAAGAGGACUUUGCUGAUGAGUAAACUUAUUUGUGUAUAAUGGUGAGAAUAAAUGAAAUAUAUUUUUAAAACAAACUACAAGUGCUUCGAAAAUAUUUAUGAAAUGUAUCAUCUUUCUAUAAAACGUUUUAAUUGAUUGAUCGAAACAUUAAAUUUUAAACAUUAUUAACUUCUUCAUUUUUCUUCAUGAUUCUUUGUUAAGUGUUUUCAUAUAUAUAUAAUUUUGUUCUCUCAUAUUUCAUUAAGAAAUAAUCGAAUAUAUUCUCUAUAGUCUAAAUACAUGUCAUAUUAAAUGACAUAACGGACACAACUAAUGCAGUCUACUUUUCUUAAUCAAAUACCAUCAAAUACCAAAAAACAUGUUUUUAGAAUCAUUUUAAUAAACAAAGAAAAAUGUUUUCAUGAUUUGGAAACAAUUUUGUAAUUUAUAAAUUAUGUACUGCAUUAUUCUGGUAUUAUAAAGGUCUACAUUUUAAACAAUGGUAAACCAAUAAUUCCAUAAAUAUUUAUUUCUGGACGUUUGUCAACAGCUGCUUUAUUCCGAUCAGCCGGUCUCCUUAUGGCAAAUAAUCAAUGUUUCAAAACUAUUUAUCAUUAAAUGUUUUAUAUGUUUUGUUUUGCUUGAUUUACAAACAAACUUGAUAAAACUAGCCAUGAAAUUUUACAAGCAACACAUUUUUUAAUACUUGCUGAAUAAGCUUCUAUGUUUCUAUUUUUACAUGCCGAUUUUAAGACUGCUUGCUAAAUAUGAAAUAUCUUGCAUAAAUAUAAGUAAAGGUCGUCGUAUUUAUUAACCUUUCGUUUUAAAUAAUAUAAAAAGCAGUGUCAAUGCUCGAAAGUAAAAAGUGGUUUAAAAUAUUCAUCAUAGAAAAUAUUACGAAGCAAAAUAUACAUUCACGUGAAAAUAAAAAACACCGAAUGAAAAAUUAAAAAAAAAUAAAACAAUAUUAAUUUCACUUAAUUUUACGUAUAUUAUCAAUUUCUUGUUGAUUUUAUUAAAAUUCAAUAUUUAUUUCAAUCGAAUAGAGUCACAACUCUAUCUUAAGUUAAAUAAAACCACGCAAUGACUUUGGUUUAUGCCAUCAUGUCAUAUAAAAAAAUAACCUGCAUUUUGAUGUUGACGAAUAUCAUAUUCGUAAGAAUUUUUAUUGAAUCAUAUUAUUAAAUGCAAUAUUGGGAGGUAGUUUAUAGAUGAAUAUAAGUCUAUUAACCGAAUACAAUAAAACUGUGUUGUCGAAAAAGCAAUUAGAACAUUCAGGUAAUACCAGGCUAAAACUUCUGACACUUAAUGAUUAUAAAAUGUUUAAGAUGUAUUGGAAGGCGGCUGAGUAUAAUAACCCGCCAACUGUGCCAAAUCAAUAUAAUUUUUUGCGGAAUACAGUUUUAUUUUAAGACAUUUUAUUUUAAGACAUUUCUAAAAAAUUAUAGUUACCACAUAUUCUAAAUUUAGAUUUAAAUUUCCAUGUUCUGUGCCUAUAUAAAAGCACAAAGUCUAAAUCUCACAGUGAGUUUAUGCUUUGUCUCGUGUAGCAUAACCAUAAAUAGAUAGGGUAAUGGGUGAUUUGAACGAAACUAACAGUGAAGUAGUACGGAGGUCCAAUGGGAACAACUCAGAACAACAUAUUGAAGGAAAGGGUUGCGGAUAUAAACGAUUACGAGACUGGGUUAUUGAUGGAACAAAUUUCCGAGUUCAAAUUUUAAUAAGAGUGUGUUAUUGUGGUCAGCGUAAAGACAAACAAAAGAUGUUAAAGCGAUCAAAUAUAUACUUUAAUGAGGUUGGUAAUGGUGUAGAAGUACAUGUUUCUGAAUCUUGUUGUUAUACAACGAAAAGAAUACCAGUGAUACAACUAUAUUGGCAGUCUGAAGAGGGAAUAAUCGAACAUGACAGAUACUGUGUUUGUCCAAAUAAGAUAUAUCCUGUUGCUCAACGAUAGCACCUUAUAAGAAUUAUGAAAAUGAACACAAUAACAGAGAACGGAGACUGACAUCAUUUCAAAUACAAUUUUACCACUACACAACUAAUAAAAUUUCCACCGGAUGAAGCGGCAAUGGAUCAACCAACUAAUCGAACAAAGCAGCUUAAAGAAAACGUGCUUAAGAGAGCCACCUAAGAACUGAGACUGUUAUAUUAUUAUAAUAUUUUCAAUAUAUUUAAUUCAGUGUUGUAUGUUUAUUUUGAACUUUUUUUUGAUUGGCUGUCGCAUUUUUUUUCCUUUAAACUACGGACAUCAUUUAAUCAUUUUGGCAAGAAACAUGCCGGAUUUUAAUUGCAAAGUGUUAACACAAUAUCUUCAUUUCCUGAGUGCACUUUUUACUGUAGUUUUUGUUGCAUGUUUUUACAUUUGAUGUAAAUUUGAUUAUAUUUUUACAAGAA